UACGGGGGGGGCAAGCGUUGUUCGGAAUUACUGGGCGUAAAGGGCUCGUAGGCGGCCAACUAAGUCAGACGUGAAAUCCCCAGGCUCAACCUGGGAACUGCGUCUGAUACUGGAUGGCUUGAAUCCGGGAGAGGGAUGCGGAAUUCCAGGUGUAGCGGUGAAAUGCGUAGAUAUCUGGAGGAACACCGGUGGCGAAGGCGGCAUCCUGGACCGGUAUUGACGCUGAGGCGCGAAAGCCAGGGGGGCAAACGGG
RNAcentral lists this ribosomal RNA (253 nucleotides) under uncultured bacterium. RNAcentral describes it as "partial 16S ribosomal RNA". It matches the Rfam family "Bacterial small subunit ribosomal RNA", at positions 524 to 776 of the family's 1533-position model. The record is from RNAcentral.